CAUUUGCGCCCAGAAAUUGGUUGAUCCGCCUCAGGCGAAUCAUUAAAAGGGAAGUCCGGUGUAAUUCCGGCGCUAUCCCCGUAGCUGUAAACUCCUUUAGAGUUGUUGUACUACAAUGUCACUGUCUGCUUCUGGCAGAUGGGAAGACGAGCAACAACGGAGCAAGCCAGAAGACCUGCCACUUUCCAUAAAACCAU
RNAcentral lists this non-coding RNA (197 nucleotides) under Flavisolibacter tropicus. Lineage: Bacteria; Pseudomonadati; Bacteroidota; Chitinophagia; Chitinophagales; Chitinophagaceae. The record is from RNAcentral.